UACAGAGGUCUCAAGCGUUGUUCGGAUUCAUUGGGCGUAAAGGGUGCGUAGGCGGCGCGGUAAGUCGGAUGUGAAAUCUCGGAGCUUAACUUCGAAACUGCAUUCGAUACUGCCGUGCUUGAGGACUGGAGAGGAGACUGGAAUUUACGGUGUAGCGGUGGAAUGCGUAGAUAUCGUAAGGAAGACCAGUGGCGAAGGCGGGUCUCUGGACAGUUCCUGACGCUGAGGCACGAAGGUCAGGGGAGCAAACGGG
RNAcentral lists this ribosomal RNA (253 nucleotides) under uncultured bacterium. RNAcentral's name for it is "partial 16S ribosomal RNA". It matches the Rfam family "Bacterial small subunit ribosomal RNA", at positions 524 to 776 of the family's 1533-position model. The record is from RNAcentral.